This 253-nucleotide ribosomal RNA is filed under the name uncultured bacterium. RNAcentral's name for it is "partial 16S ribosomal RNA". It matches the Rfam family "Bacterial small subunit ribosomal RNA", at positions 524 to 776 of the family's 1533-position model. The record is from RNAcentral.
UACGAAGGGGGCUAGCGUUGUUCGGAAUCACUGGGCGUAAAGCGCGCGUAGGCGGCUUUUUAAGUCAGGGGUGAAAUCCCGAGGCUCAACCUCGGAACUGCCUUUGAUACUGGAGAUCUUGAGUCCGGAAGAGGUAAGUGGAACUGCGAGUGUAGAGGUGAAAUUCGUAGAUAUUCGCAAGAACACCAGUGGCGAAGGCGGCUUACUGGUCCGGAACUGACGCUGAGGUGCGAAAGCGUGGGGAGCAAACAGG